This 472-nucleotide ribosomal RNA is filed under the name uncultured bacterium. RNAcentral's name for it is "partial 16S ribosomal RNA". It matches the Rfam family "Bacterial small subunit ribosomal RNA", at positions 28 to 507 of the family's 1533-position model. The record is from RNAcentral.
GAUGAACGCUGGCGGCGUGCCUAACACAUGCAAGUCGAACGCUGACGCUUGGAGCUUGCACUGGGUGGAUGAGCGGCGAACGGGUGAGUAAUACGUGAGUAACCUGCCCUUGACUCUGGGAUAAGCACGGGAAACUGGGUCUAAUACUGGAUAAGACAUGUCACCGCAUGGUGGAGUGUGGAAAGGGUUUUGCUGGGUUUGGAUGGGCUCACGGCCAAUCAGCUUGUUGGUGGGGUAAUGGCACACCAAGGCGACGACGGGUAGCCGGCCUGAGAGGGGGGCCACGCACACGGCGACUACGGGAGGGCCCAGUCGGGAAUGGUAGGCAACAGGCGGGAGUAUGACACAGCGAGCGCGAGCGUGUGACGAAGGCCCCCCGUGAGUAAAGACCUGCUUCGGGUGAAGAACCGCUUUCAGCACAGAAGAAGCGGAAGUGACGGUACCUACAGAAGAAGCACCGGCUAACUACGUG